GACGAACGCUGGCGGCGUGCCUAAUACAUGCAAGUAGAACGCUGAAGAGAGGAGCUUGCUCUUCUUGGAUGAGUUGCGAACGGGUGAGUAACGCGUAGGUAACCUGCCUUGUAGCGGGGGAUAACUAUUGGAAACGAUAGCUAAUACCGCAUAACAAUGGAUGACACAUGUCAUUUAUUUGAAAGGGGCAAUUGCUCCACUACAAGAUGGACCUGCGUUGUAUUAGCUAGUAGGUGAGGUAAUGGCUCACCUAGGCGACGAUACAUAGCCGACCUGAGAGGGUGAUCGGCCACACUGGGACUGAGACACGGCCCAGACUCCUACGGGAGGCAGCAGUAGGGAAUCUUCGGCAAUGGGGGCAACCCUGACCGAGCAACGCCGCGUGAGUGAAGAAGGUUUUCGGAUCGUAAAGCUCGGUUGUAAGUCAAGAACGGGCGUGAGAGUGGAAAGUUCACACUGUGACGGUAGCUUACCAGAAAGGGACGGCUAACUACGUG
Molecule: ribosomal RNA, 497 nt
Filed under: uncultured bacterium
Lineage: Bacteria
Description: partial 16S ribosomal RNA
Rfam family: Bacterial small subunit ribosomal RNA
Source: RNAcentral